AGUGAACGCUGGCGGCAGGCCUAACACAUGCAAGUCGAGCGGCAGCGCGGGUGUAGCAAUACAUCUGGCGGCGAGCGGCGGACGGGUGAGGAAUACAUCGGAAUUUACCCAAUCGUGGGGGAUAACGUAGGGAAACUUACGCUGAUACCGCAUGAACUGGAGACAGCAAAGCGGCGGACCUUCGGGCGUCGCGCGGUUGGAUGAGCCGAUGUCGGAUUAGCAGUUGGCGGGGGUAAAGGCCCACCAAGGCGACGAUCCGUAGCUGGUCUGAGAGGAUGAUCAGCCACACUGGAACUGAGACACGGUCCAGACUCCUACGGGAGGCAGCAGUGGGGAAUAUUGG
Molecule: ribosomal RNA, 343 nt
Filed under: uncultured bacterium
Lineage: Bacteria
Description: bacterial SSU rRNA
Rfam family: Bacterial small subunit ribosomal RNA
Source: RNAcentral